GGGGUGUUGGUGUAGUCGGUUAACACGCCGCCCUCUCAAGGCGGAGACCACGGGUUCAAGUCCCGUACACCCUG
Molecule: transfer RNA, 74 nt
Filed under: Acidobacteriota bacterium
Lineage: Bacteria; Pseudomonadati; Acidobacteriota
Description: tRNA-Glu
Rfam family: tRNA
About the family: Transfer RNA (tRNA) molecules are approximately 80 nucleotides in length.
Source: RNAcentral